This 468-nucleotide ribosomal RNA is filed under the name uncultured bacterium. RNAcentral describes it as "partial 16S ribosomal RNA". It matches the Rfam family "Bacterial small subunit ribosomal RNA", at positions 28 to 507 of the family's 1533-position model. The record is from RNAcentral.
GACGAACGCUGGCGGCGUGCUUAACACAUGCAAGUCGAACGGAAAGGCCCUGCUUUUGUGGGGUUCUCGAGUGGCGAACGGGUGAGUAACACGUGAGUAACCUGCCCUUGACUUUGGGAUAACUUCAGGAAACUGGGGCUAAUACCGGAUAGGAGCUCCUGCUGCAUGGUGGGGGUUGGAAAGUUUCGGCGGUUGUGGAUGGACUCGCGGCUUAUCAGCUUGUUGGUGGGGUAGUGGCUUACCAAGGCUUUGACGGGUAGCCGGCCUGAGAGGGUGACCGGCCACAUUGGGACUGAGAUACGGCGCAGACUCCUACGGGAGGCAGCAGUGGGGAAUAUUGCACAAUGGGCGGAAGCCUGAUGCAGCAACGCCGCGUGCGGGAUGACGGCCUUCGGGUUGUAAACCGCUUUGGCCUGUGACGAAGCGUGAGUGACGGUAAUGGGUAAAGAAGCACCGGCUAACUACGUG